Long non-coding RNA from Herpailurus yagouaroundi (jaguarundi), 2763 nucleotides. RefSeq lists it as uncharacterized. Lineage: Eukaryota; Metazoa; Chordata; Mammalia; Carnivora; Felidae. The transcript has 3 exons. The record is from RefSeq and is a predicted model, not a curated record.
GUUGGUGGGAGGAGAAAACUGAUUUUUGAUAAUACAUUUCAGUAAAAACCUUGUUAUUUUGGAAAAACACUCCUUUGAACAGUUUUUGGACACAUUUUAGUGGAUAAAGGAACCAAGAAUUUGGACCUGAAGUAUACAUGGUAUUUUACUGCACUAUGAACAGAUAAGUAUUAAUUAUAAUUAACGGGGUUUUUGUUACACUGUAUGCAUUAAGAAACUAACAAUUAGCAUUUGCUCUUGAAUUUUAGUGCUUGUUUUCAGAAGAGUUAUCACAGGAUUUUGACAGGAACUUUUCUGUUGGCUGGGAGUUGCUGAUAAAACCCCAAAGGCAAAAUCUCGUGUUCUUCUGCAUUCUAAAGGGUACCACAAGGCUCGGACACCCUGUCCCAUAGGAGACUCUAGGAGGUUUAAGAUUCACACAACUUCUUGCUCUUGGGCCUCCACUGACAUGUUACCAUAUAACAAGGUUCAGAUCCAGAGGAGAGGGGCCUUAUAGUCCUGGGGUGAAGGCCUCUGCCCUUUCCAUAGGAUGGGGAGGGGUGGGGGGGACUCCGACACCAAGAGAAUAACUGGAGAUAUUGGGGACGUCAGAAAUCCUUGGAGCUUGGUGGCUUCAUCUCCAGCAAACCACAGGCCCCCUUCUUGGGAGAGCUUGCCGUGUACCUACCUCUGAAGAGUGUAUAUGCGGUGGUGAGGGGUGGGGAGGAACAAAACACAGGCAGGGGCGAAACGAGAUUUCUGAAGGAGGGGCGGCUGCUGCUGGAGUAGGCCCUACCAGCAGAUCAUGAAGCCCUCUAAGGGUCCGAGUUCAUGUUGUGCCUAGGAAGCAAGGGAUAAGGCCACUCCAACUGUUUUCUUUGCUGCCAAAGAUCCCAAGGCAGGAUUUCACUAGACGCUGAAGAGGGUGACUAUAUAAAGUGACCAUUGAAACCAAGACCCUUGAGAAUGAAUGGGGAGCUAACCAAACAAGAAGCUGGGGGCGGUUCUCGAAAACCGCGGCAAACCUUUUCUCUGUGCCUGGGGGUCUCAGAAGAGGGAAGGAAAAUAGGAUGGCAGGAGCCAUAGGGCUGUGACCCAGUGACUGCCGCACCAAGCUAGGGGAUGACCCAUCUGGCAAGGGGUUAAAAAAAAAAAAAUGCAAGCACUGCAUGGGGCCAAAGAGAUGAGAGACCGCCCGCUGUGAAUGAACACUUGGGACUGGGGCGAAGUUGAAUGCCGCGCCCAGACAGGUGCGCAUCUCCCGAUGAGGGCAGGCCACCGGCCCCCAAACAGGACCUAACGCGGCAAACGGGCAUCUUCUUUCUCCUUCGCUCUCCCCUCACCCAUGCGCGGAGCAGGCAGGGCAUUCGGCCACCUGAGAGUAAGGUAUGAGUUUGGAGUUUUAAACAGGGCUAGACUGUAAAUUUCAAUAUCCAUUAGUAAGCACAAAUUGGCUUUCCCUCAGGUUAAGCAUCUUAAAAGGGGAUGUGACAGCGUGGCGGCGGUGAGAAGGCAGGUUAGAAGGGUUUGUACCACCAAAUUUCGAAUUAGUAAUAGGAAGAGCUAAGUGUGCCCUUUUAAAGAGGUGAAAGGAGGCCCACUUGCGUCCCCUCACAUUUUACGGGCGCUAGGUGGGAAGCGGGGUGAGUACGCGCACCAAGAGGGCCUCCGCCUGCCGAGACGCGUGGCGCGGCUGGAGACUACAUUCCCCGAAAGCCUUGGCGUCGGCGCACUUAUGCCACCGUGUCUGACGUCAUCCGCCGCUGACACCCGCACACCCAGUUCCAGUCUGCGUCGACGUGGCCAUCGCGUUGUGUGCGCGGAGUGCAAAGGAGCAAGGGCGUUCGCGACCUGUGCCCAGCGUCCUGCUCCCGGGGCCAGGCUACCCUCUUCCAGUGGCCGCCACCAGCCACGGGAGUCCCAUGACCAGAAAACUCCAGGCCAGGCCCCGCCCCUCUUCUCCCCGCGCUUCGCCCUAAUAGCACGACCAUUUCCAAUCAUGUGACCUACCCGACAAAAUGGGGAUAAGUUCAACCAAAUGGGAUUGUGUAGCAGGAAGAGGAGAUGAUUACACCAUCACUUCUGCCAUACUGUACUGGUUAGAAGCGAAUCAGCCCACAUUCAUGGGGUGUGAACACCAGGACGCACAGUUGUUGUAGGGGGACUUUAGAGGCUGUCUACUACAAUGACAUAAUUAUUAACUCUACUUUAUAGAAAGAGCUGACCCUACUCAAAAGAGAAUAUUGCAAGAGUAACAGUGUGUGAUUUCCAAGACUGGGUGAUAAAAGACAUUGCAACAUCCUCCCUGCCAUCUCUUGGGUCACCAACCUUAAGGGAAGCCAGCUGUCAUGGUGUGAAGACGCUGAAGCAGACCUAUGGAGAGGUCUAAGAGGAAAUGAGACCUCCUGCCAACAGUUAGCACCAAUUUUCCAGCCAUGUAAGUGAACCAUCUUGAAUGAUGCUCAAACCCUAGUCAAGCCUUCAGAUGACAUCAGCCCCAGCGACAUCUUAACUGCAUUCUCAUGAUAGAUCCCAAGCUAAAACCACUCAGUCAAGCCAUUCCCAAAUUCCUGACCCAUAGGAACUUAUGUAGGAUAAUAAAUGUUUAUCUUGUUUUAAUUCAUUAGGAUUUUUGAUAAUUUGUUACACAGGAAUGGAUAAACCGAUACUUACUUUAUUGUCGUUGUUCUCUUUCACCUUUUAUUUUUUUAAGCAAGCUCUAUGCCCAACGUGGGGCUUGAACUCACCACCCUGUGAUCAAGAGUCAGACUCUCUACCAACUGA